CCUUAGAUGACUGAGUAAUAAGUGUUAGAUUUUUAAUCUAAAAACGGCAGAGCUUUAAUGUGCCUCUAAGGA
RNAcentral lists this transfer RNA (72 nucleotides) under Tonna galea. Its description in RNAcentral is "tRNA-Lys". It matches the Rfam family "tRNA". Rfam says of the family: Transfer RNA (tRNA) molecules are approximately 80 nucleotides in length. Their secondary structure includes four short double-helical elements and three loops (D, anti-codon, and T loops). Further hydrogen bonds mediate the characteristic L-shaped molecular structure. tRNAs have two regions of fundamental functional importance: the anti-codon, which is responsible for specific mRNA codon recognition, and the 3' end, to which the tRNAs corresponding amino acid is attached (by aminoacyl-tRNA synthetases). tRNAs cope with the degeneracy of the genetic code in two manners: having more than one tRNA (with a specific anti-codon) for a particular amino acid; and 'wobble' base-pairing, i.e. permitting non-standard base-pairing at the 3rd anti-codon position. Lineage: Eukaryota; Metazoa; Mollusca; Gastropoda; Littorinimorpha; Tonnidae. The record is from RNAcentral.